RNAcentral lists this transfer RNA (71 nucleotides) under Thermoplasmatales archaeon SW_10_69_26. RNAcentral describes it as "tRNA-Gly". It matches the Rfam family "tRNA". Rfam says of the family: Transfer RNA (tRNA) molecules are approximately 80 nucleotides in length. Their secondary structure includes four short double-helical elements and three loops (D, anti-codon, and T loops). Lineage: Archaea; Methanobacteriati; Thermoplasmatota; Thermoplasmata; Thermoplasmatales. The record is from RNAcentral.
GCGGCCGUGGUCUAGGGGUAGGACCAGAGCCUUCCAAGCUCUUAGCCCGGGUUCAAAUCCCGGCGGCCGCA